RNAcentral lists this ribosomal RNA (416 nucleotides) under uncultured Mortierellales. RNAcentral describes it as "eukaryotic LSU rRNA". The stretch from base 361 to 416 matches the Rfam family "Eukaryotic large subunit ribosomal RNA", at positions 1 to 56 of the family's 3401-position model. Lineage: Eukaryota; Fungi; Mortierellomycota; Mortierellomycetes; Mortierellales. The record is from RNAcentral.
UAGAGACGAGGUGAAUCAUCGAAUCUUUGAACGCAAUUUGCACCGGGUGAUGCAUGUCAUCCGGUAUACUUGUUUGAGUAUCUGAAACUACCUCACACUCCCCUCGGGGCGGUGUGGACUGUAUGAGCUUCUUGCUUUGCUGCAAGUCUCUCUAAAGAUAUGGGUCUCUUUCCUUUACGGGAAAGUAGGACUGCCUCUGCCUGAACAUGGUUUAGACUAUUGGGAUAACAUCCUAACAAUCGUCGCCAGGUUACCUCUCACGAGGAAGGGCAUUGACAGACUGACUAGACCUGAACGGAUUUAGCUUGCCUAAACAGCGAGCGCAAGUCCACGGAAUGCCUUACCGCAAACCCGUUCUCUAGAUCUCAAAUCAAGUAAGGAUACCCGCUGAACUUAAGCAUAUCAAUAAGCGGAGG